Molecule: ribosomal RNA, 253 nt
Filed under: uncultured bacterium
Lineage: Bacteria
Description: partial 16S ribosomal RNA
Rfam family: Bacterial small subunit ribosomal RNA
Source: RNAcentral
UACGAAGGGUGCAAACGUUGCUCGGAAUUAUUGGGCGUAAAGCGCACGUAGGCGGCUUGGCAAGUCGGAUGUGAAAUCCCUCGGCUCAACCAAGGAAGUGCAUCCGAAACUGCAGUGCUUGAGUACUUAAGAGGAUCGCGGAAUUCCCGGUGUAGAGGUGAAAUUCGUAGAUAUCGGGAGGAACACCAGUGGCGAAGGCGGCGAUCUGGGAAGAUACUGACGCUGAGGUGCGAAAGCGUGGGGAGCAAACAGG